CAGCAGCCGCGGUAAUACGUAGGUCCCGAGCGUUGUCCGGAUUUAUUGGGCGUAAAGCGAGCGCAGGCGGUUAGAUAAGUCUGAAGUUAAAGGCUGUGGCUUAACCAUAGUACGCUUUGGAAACUGUUUAACUUGAGUGCAAGAGGGGAGAGUGGAAUUCCAUGUGUAGCGGUGAAAUGCGUAGAUAUAUGGAGGAACACCGGUGGCGAAAGCGGCUUACUGGCUCGAUACUGACGCUGAGGUGCGAAAGCGUGGGGAGCAAACAGGAUUAGAUACCCCAGUAGUCCCUGUCUCUUAUACC
This 301-nucleotide ribosomal RNA is filed under the name uncultured bacterium. RNAcentral's name for it is "partial 16S ribosomal RNA". It matches the Rfam family "Bacterial small subunit ribosomal RNA", at positions 509 to 808 of the family's 1533-position model. The record is from RNAcentral.